Molecule: non-coding RNA, 445 nt
Organism: Pelobates cultripes (western spadefoot toad)
Lineage: Eukaryota; Metazoa; Chordata; Amphibia; Anura; Pelobatidae
Source: the annotation of a GenBank genome assembly
GGAAAAUGGUUGCAAUUCCUAAACGUUUCAUACAAUAUUUUUGUUCAACCCCUUGAGAUAUUUCCAGACCUAACUGUAUAUUAGUGUGUGAAGUCACUUUCUGCUUAUUGUGCAAAAAACAUAGUUGGUGCAGAAAAAACUGAUUGGCUAGAAAAAGGUUAAUCUAUGCAAUACAAACAACAUCAAACAUGAUUUUCUUAUAAAUUACAACUUGCAUUUGCAUACCUCCGAACAUUAGGAAGUACAUAUUCAAGGAAAGGAGUGGUUGGGCCUAAAGGGGCAUGGCGGUGAGAACACUUUUGUCACUAGUAAUACCAUAAAUGGAUGGUCCUCUCCAGGAAGUGGUGCAGCUGCCUUGAUAAGGCAGCCUCUGUGGCUGGUCUCACUCAAGGCAGAUCAUGCAGACAGGACUGCUGAAGCACUCUAUAUAUGUUCCUGGUGCCCU